CCUACGGGUGGCUGCAGUGGGGAAUAUUGGACAAUGGGGGCAACCCUGAUCCAGCCAUGCCGCGUGUGUGAAGAAGGCCCUCGGGUUGUAAAGCACUUUCAGUGAGGAAGAACGCCUGGUGGUUAAUACCCAUCAGGAAAGACAUCACUCACAGAAGAAGCACCGGCUAACUCCGUGCCAGCAGCCGCGGUAAUACGGAGGGUGCGAGCGUUAAUCGGAAUUACUGGGCGUAAAGCGCGCGUAGGUGGCUUGAUAAGCCGGUUGUGAAAGCCCCGGGCUCAACCUGGGAACGGCAUCCGGAACUGUCAAGCUAGAGUGCAGGAGAAGAAGGUAGAAUUCCCGGUGUAGCGGUGAAAUGCGUAGAGAUCGGGAGGAAUACCAGUGGCGAAGGCGGCCUUCUGGACUGACACUGACACUGAGGUGCGAAAGCGUGGGUAGCAAACAGGAUUAGAUACCCUAGUAGUC
RNAcentral lists this ribosomal RNA (465 nucleotides) under Vreelandella stevensii. RNAcentral's name for it is "partial 16S ribosomal RNA". It matches the Rfam family "Bacterial small subunit ribosomal RNA", at positions 338 to 795 of the family's 1533-position model. Lineage: Bacteria; Pseudomonadati; Pseudomonadota; Gammaproteobacteria; Oceanospirillales; Halomonadaceae. The record is from RNAcentral.